This 298-nucleotide unclassified non-coding RNA is filed under the name uncultured fungus. RNAcentral describes it as "partial contains small subunit ribosomal RNA, internal transcribed spacer 1, and 5.8S ribosomal RNA". The stretch from base 1 to 73 matches the Rfam family "Eukaryotic small subunit ribosomal RNA", at positions 1759 to 1831 of the family's 1831-position model. Lineage: Eukaryota; Fungi. The record is from RNAcentral.
ACAAACUUGGUCAUUUAGAGGAAGUAAAAGUCGUAACAAGGUUUCCGUAGGUGAACCUGCGGAAGGAUCAUUAGUGAUUCAAGAGGGAAAGAGAUGUGCUGGCAAAGAAUUCUUUGCAACAACUGUGCACUCUCUUACCUUUUCAAAUUUUGAAACCUGUGCACCCUUUGUAGGCAGGGAUUUUCCUGUCUAUGCUUUUAUCAUGCAACCCUGCAAAAUGUGUAUGAAUAGAGAUACAAAUAAAAGUACAACUUUCAACAAUGGAUCUCUUGGCUCUCGCAUCGAUGAAGAACGCAGC